Molecule: ribosomal RNA, 491 nt
Filed under: uncultured bacterium
Lineage: Bacteria
Description: partial 16S ribosomal RNA
Rfam family: Bacterial small subunit ribosomal RNA
Source: RNAcentral
AGUGAACGCUGGCGGUAGGCCUAACACAUGCAAGUCGAACGGCAGCACAGUAAGAGCUUGCUCUUACGGGUGGCGAGUGGCGGACGGGUGAGGAAUACAUCGGAAUCUACUUUUUCGUGGGGGAUAACGUAGGGAAACUUACGCUAAUACCGCAUACGACCUACGGGUGAAAGCAGGGGAUCUUCGGACCUUGCGCGAUUGAAUGAGCCGAUGUCGGAUUAGCUAGUUGGCGGGGUAAAGGCCCACCAAGGCGACGAUCCGUAGCUGGUCUGAGAGGAUGAUCAGCCACACUGGAACGGAGACACGGCCCAGACUCCUACGGGAGGCAGCAGGGGGAAAUAUUGGACAAGGGACGCAAGCCUGAUCCAGCCAAACCGCGUGGGUGAAGAAGGCCUUCGGGUUGUAAAGCCCUUUUGUUGGGAAAGAAAAGCAGCAGGUUAAUACCCCGCUGUUCUGACGGAACCCAAGGAAUAAGCACCGGCUAACUUCGU